This 153-nucleotide ribosomal RNA is filed under the name uncultured Anaerolineaceae bacterium. Its description in RNAcentral is "partial 16S ribosomal RNA". It matches the Rfam family "Bacterial small subunit ribosomal RNA", at positions 1229 to 1382 of the family's 1533-position model. The record is from RNAcentral. Lineage: Bacteria; Bacillati; Chloroflexota; Anaerolineae; Anaerolineales; Anaerolineaceae.
AAGGGACGAAUAGGUUGCGAAGCCGCGAGGCGGAGCCAAUCCAGCAAAACUUACCCUCCAGUUCAGAUUGCAGGCUGCAACUCGCCUGCAUGAAGUUGGAGUUGCUAGUAAACGCAGGUCAGCCAUACUGCGUUGAAUACGUUCCCGGGGCUU